RNAcentral lists this transfer RNA (72 nucleotides) under Elusimicrobia bacterium CG1_02_56_21. Its description in RNAcentral is "tRNA-Pro". It matches the Rfam family "tRNA". Rfam says of the family: Transfer RNA (tRNA) molecules are approximately 80 nucleotides in length. Their secondary structure includes four short double-helical elements and three loops (D, anti-codon, and T loops). Lineage: Bacteria; Pseudomonadati; Elusimicrobiota. RNAcentral also lists the same sequence under 1 other name. The record is from RNAcentral.
CGGGGCAUAGUGAAAUGGUUCUCACGCGUGCUUUGGGAGCAUGAGUUCCGAGUCCGAUUCUCGGUGCCCCGA